Molecule: ribosomal RNA, 1522 nt
Filed under: Salmonella enterica subsp. enterica serovar Bredeney
Lineage: Bacteria; Pseudomonadati; Pseudomonadota; Gammaproteobacteria; Enterobacterales; Enterobacteriaceae
Description: bacterial SSU rRNA
Rfam family: Bacterial small subunit ribosomal RNA
Source: RNAcentral
AGAGUUUGAUCAUGGCUCAGAUUGAACGCUGGCGGCAGGCCUAACACAUGCAAGUCGAACGGUAACAGGAAGCAGCUUGCUGCUUCGCUGACGAGUGGCGGACGGGUGAGUAAUGUCUGGGAAGCUGCCUGAUGGAGGGGGAUAACUACUGGAAACGGUGGCUAAUACCGCAUAACGUCGCAAGACCAAAGAGGGGGACCUUCGGGCCUCUUGCCAUCAGAUGUGCCCAGAUGGGAUUAGCUUGUUGGUGAGGUAACGGCUCACCAAGGCGACGAUCCCUAGCUGGUCUGAGAGGAUGACCAGCCACACUGGAACUGAGACACGGUCCAGACUCCUACGGGAGGCAGCAGUGGGGAAUAUUGCACAAUGGGCGCAAGCCUGAUGCAGCCAUGCCGCGUGUAUGAAGAAGGCCUUCGGGUUGUAAAGUACUUUCAGCGGGGAGGAAGGUGUUGUGGUUAAUAACCGCAGCAAUUGACGUUACCCGCAGAAGAAGCACCGGCUAACUCCGUGCCAGCAGCCGCGGUAAUACGGAGGGUGCAAGCGUUAAUCGGAAUUACUGGGCGUAAAGCGCACGCAGGCGGUCUGUCAAGUCGGAUGUGAAAUCCCCGGGCUCAACCUGGGAACUGCAUUCGAAACUGGCAGGCUUGAGUCUUGUAGAGGGGGGUAGAAUUCCAGGUGUAGCGGUGAAAUGCGUAGAGAUCUGGAGGAAUACCGGUGGCGAAGGCGGCCCCCUGGACAAAGACUGACGCUCAGGUGCGAAAGCGUGGGGAGCAAACAGGAUUAGAUACCCUGGUAGUCCACGCCGUAAACGAUGUCUACUUGGAGGUUGUGCCCUUGAGGCGUGGCUUCCGGAGCUAACGCGUUAAGUAGACCGCCUGGGGAGUACGGCCGCAAGGUUAAAACUCAAAUGAAUUGACGGGGGCCCGCACAAGCGGUGGAGCAUGUGGUUUAAUUCGAUGCAACGCGAAGAACCUUACCUGGUCUUGACAUCCACGGAAGUUUUCAGAGAUGAGAAUGUGCCUUCGGGAACCGUGAGACAGGUGCUGCAUGGCUGUCGUCAGCUCGUGUUGUGAAAUGUUGGGUUAAGUCCCGCAACGAGCGCAACCCUUAUCCUUUGUUGCCAGCGGUCCGGCCGGGAACUCAAAGGAGACUGCCAGUGAUAAACUGGAGGAAGGUGGGGAUGACGUCAAGUCAUCAUGGCCCUUACGACCAGGGCUACACACGUGCUACAAUGGCGCAUACAAAGAGAAGCGACCUCGCGAGAGCAAGCGGACCUCAUAAAGUGCGUCGUAGUCCGGAUUGGAGUCUGCAACUCGACUCCAUGAAGUCGGAAUCGCUAGUAAUCGUGGAUCAGAAUGCCACGGUGAAUACGUUCCCGGGCCUUGUACACACCGCCCGUCACACCAUGGGAGUGGGUUGCAAAAGAAGUAGGUAGCUUAACCUUCGGGAGGGCGCUUACCACUUUGUGAUUCAUGACUGGGGUGAAGUCGUAACAAGGUAACCGUAGGGGAACCUGCGGUUG